This is a long non-coding RNA of Cercocebus atys (sooty mangabey), 2741 nucleotides long. RefSeq lists it as uncharacterized. The transcript has 3 exons. The record is from RefSeq and is a predicted model, not a curated record. NCBI's taxonomy places the organism in Eukaryota, Metazoa, Chordata, Mammalia, Primates, Cercopithecidae.
UCCCCUCGGCCUCCUAAAGUGCUGGGAUUACAGGCAUGAGCCACUUUGCCCAGCCAAGCCCCUUUGUUUUAAUGGGUCAGAGGUUAGAACAAUUUAGGAUCUACUGAUAAAUCUGUCUGAGAGAAAAAAAAUGUUGGCUUUUAGCUUUAUUGUAGGUGCUUGAUAAAUGUUUACAGAAUAAAUGAACAUCGGAGCUAACACAGCAUACAUUGCAUAGGUACUGUAAGACCUGCCUGAGAACAGGGCCAGGAGCCACCCCUUGGCAUACUCUACGCCUGUCACUGGGCCCAGCAAUCACAGAACUCAGAACAUGGAUGCAAUUAAAUAAAGAAAACCUCUGUGAUUCUCUGGUGCUGACAACACACUGGAAUGCAUCUACAGCUCCAGGGCCGCCAUUUUGUCCUAAGAGGAAGCCAGCUUCCUCCCUCAGGAAAACUAGAGACAAGGACAUAGAAAUAGGAGAUGAAGCCGAUUUGAAAAGCCACCAGAGCUCUGAGAGGAGUGGUACCCAUUCUGUGUCACACCGUCACCGUUCUCACCUGUGGCUGACUGCAGCACCUGAAGCUCGACCAGCUGCAGUCUGUCACCAACAUGAAGUUGCUCCUAGAGCACUUUGUUCCUUUAAAAAUGAUAAAAUACUACAAGCACGCAGGACUAUAGAGAAUAUUGUCCCUAUGUCUCCAUAUUUGCUUCAGCUGAUGUUUUAAAAGACUAGAACAUUGUUAACCCUUGCCUGUGCCAUUUCCUGCCCUCUCCCUGCUCUUCAGAAAUUGGUAUUUAUGUUUCCCAUGAAUGUUUUUAUACUUUUACUACACAUGUAAGUAUCCACACAUAAUAGAUGAUAUGGUUUUGCAAGCUUUCAAACUUUACAUAAAUGAUGUCUUACUGUACCCUUUGCAUGUUUUUCAUUCACUGUCGUAUUUCUGAGGUUUAUCGCUGUUGAUACAAGAUCAAUUUCAUUAUUAUCUAUUCAUUCUUUUUCUGAUGGGUGCUAAGAUCGUGUCGCAUUUUUUACUGUUAGAAAUCACGCUACAACAUUAUUUACAAUGUAUGUUCUGUAGCCAUGUCCUUAAACACAGGUGUUCGACUCUCUGCGAUCAUCGCGGCCCUCAGACCUGCUCCUCGCCUGGACUAGGCUCUGCUCUGGGGUCACCCUUCCCCAGCAUGCAACUUGACUCUUGAAGACCAAGUUGCACUUGAAGACCACGUCUUACACCAGAAUUCUCCCUGGAUCAUCCUUGUCAGGGAUUCCUACCCUACCUUGCCACCCACACCUGGCCCCUCCUAAAAGGAAUGUUCUUUGGCAGGAAUGAAGAGCAUGUGCUCGGUUGUAGGGUGAGGAGACCUCAUGUGAGUGGUCAGUUUUAACUGGACCUCAAAGGAGGCUGUUUCCAGAGGCAAGGAGAAAUGGGCGAGUUUUCUUGGCGAAGGGGCAGCAAGAGCCAGCAUAGGCAAAGGAACGUGGCAGUGUCAGGAGAGGACCAGGCAAAGAGCUGGCCAGCAGAUAGAAGCUGAGUGCUGCUGGAGAGUAGGAGGCUGGAUUAGUAACAUGAUGUGAACUGAGGAAGUUAAAGGUUUGUCUCCUCCACCAGAUCACUGCAUUUUAGCUUUGUAGAAGGAAGUGGCCUGGAGACCCUGAGGAGCAGAAACAGUGGCUCACUCCUGUGCUUCUGUGGUCCGUUUCCUCACUUUUCCCCUUCCGUCAAGUGUUGAGGCUCUGUGGAGUUCAGCUUCCUCUUCCCUCCAUCACUCACAUCCCACUUCCCAUCACCGGCUUCCAUGCAAGAGAACUCCAGGUUACUGGCCUCGGGCAGCAGUCCAGCUGUUACCAGUAAACCGGAAGCUGACGUCACUAACAAGAGUUCAGGGAGCACUAAGAGGCAGACCAGAGGUCUCCUAAGCUUGACUCCUCUUCGGCACGAGACUAAGGAAGCGCCCCAAGUGCCAGUCAGAGGUGUGGGAGACCAGCUUGUGUGUGUGUGUGAGAGACAGGGGAAGGCAGGUGGAGUUAGGGAGCUCUUUCAGCUUAGCUGGGCUUCGUGAUUUCAAGUGAGCCUCUGCUGGGAGAAAUGGGUUUGUUGUUACUGAAAGAACAAGUUUGGGUCUCAAGUUUUCUUUUGCCUUAUUUGACAGCUCAUAAAACUCAGCAGCAAAUCUGAACUUCCAGCUCCACGGCUUGGAGGAAGAAGCCUAGGAAUAGUUAUCGACUCCUUCCCCUGUCCUUGGCUUGACCUCCCUCCCUCCCUCCUUCUCACCACACCAUUUAGAAAUCAUGAAGACAAUCUGUUCCCAAGAGCAAGGGUGGAGGGUGGAAGGCUGGCUGGGCUGAUGGGACCAACGCUUGUCAGAAAUGAACAGGCCCAUGCGACAGUGAAGACAAUGCAGAGGGAAAGAGCUUUUGGCUUCAUGCUUUGACAAAGUGCCCUGAGACUGUAUGUGCAUGUGUGUAUUUCUGUUCGGUAAAUCCUGGAAGGCCAGUGCAGUGGGAGAAUCCAUAUGUUUUCAGCCUCCAAAAUGUGCCAGGUAGUUAUAGUUGACAGUGGAGUAUGUGAGAAACUAUACGGUACUGGCCUCAUUCUUCAUGCUGCCACUCUGGCCUUUGACUUUGGAGUGGGGAAUUUCUUAAAUUCACACAUCCCUGACCCCUUUUGUGGGUGACCUAGGGCCUGGCAUACACUGUACAAUUAACAAAUGUCAGCUGAAUGAGUAGAAUGAAUAAACAAAAAAGAGUCAUUGUGUAA